RNAcentral lists this unclassified non-coding RNA (361 nucleotides) under Hevea brasiliensis (rubber tree). The record is from RNAcentral. Lineage: Eukaryota; Viridiplantae; Streptophyta; Magnoliopsida; Malpighiales; Euphorbiaceae.
GGUUAAUAUAUUUGAUAAUCAUGUUAGGAGUGUAAAUAUUCAUUGAUGUAACUAAAGAAUUAUUAAAGAGAAACAGUUCGCCUGUAAAGUACUUCAUCAUCACUCUCAUCUUCCUCAUCUGACACAACCUCAAAGCCUGGUAGUUCUAACUUCCCACCCAUACAGAAUGAUGGACCCUGAUUUUCUGAAUCAAUAUAAUCACCUUGCAAUCUUUCCUCGAAUCUCUGGUCACUACAGUUGAGGAACCAAUUCAUUGAACACCUGAGCCCCUUGCUUUGCAGCCUCUGGUAUCUUGGCUUGAUUCUGGAUUCCAGGCUAUAUGUAAAAUAUUCAGGAAAAUCCACAAGUUCAUUCAAAGGCC